This 253-nucleotide ribosomal RNA is filed under the name uncultured bacterium. RNAcentral describes it as "partial 16S ribosomal RNA". It matches the Rfam family "Bacterial small subunit ribosomal RNA", at positions 524 to 776 of the family's 1533-position model. The record is from RNAcentral.
UACGUAGGGUGCGAGCGUUGUCCGGAAUUAUUGGGCGUAAAGAGCUCGUAGGCGGUUUGUCGCGUCUGCUGUGAAAACUCGGGGCUUAACCCCGGGCCUGCAGUGGGUACGGGCAGACUAGAGUGCGGUAGGGGAGACUGGAAUUCCUGGUGUAGCGGUGAAAUGCGCAGAUAUCAGGAGGAACACCGGUGGCGAAGGCGGGUCUCUGGGCCGUAACUGACGCUGAGGAGCGAAGGCGUGGGGAGCGAACAGG